This 207-nucleotide ribosomal RNA is filed under the name uncultured bacterium. Its description in RNAcentral is "partial 16S ribosomal RNA". It matches the Rfam family "Bacterial small subunit ribosomal RNA", at positions 568 to 774 of the family's 1533-position model. The record is from RNAcentral.
UGCGUAGGUGGCUAGGUAAGUCCGAUGUGAAAGCUCCGAGCCCAACUCGGAAAAGUCAUUGGAAACUAUCGAGCUAGAGGAUUGGAGAGGGGACUGGAAUUCUCGGUGUAGCAGUGAAAUGCGUAGAUAUCGAGAGGAACACCAGUGGCGAAGGCGAGUCCCUGGACAACUCCUGACACUGAGGCACGAAAGCUAGGGGAGCAAACA